This 267-nucleotide unclassified non-coding RNA is filed under the name uncultured Actinomycetes bacterium. RNAcentral describes it as "uncultured actinobacterium contains 16S-23S intergenic spacer region". The record is from RNAcentral. Lineage: Bacteria; Bacillati; Actinomycetota; Actinomycetes.
UCCGGCUUCUCGCCGGCAGUCCUCUUCGAGUGCCCGGCAUAACCCGCUUUCACGGGUUUCACCCUGCAUGUCAAGCCCAGGUAAGGUUCUUCGCGUCGCAUCGAAUUAAGCCGCAUGCUCCGCCGCUUGUGCGGGCCCCCGUCAAUUCCUUUGAGUUUUAGCCUUGCGGCCGUGCUCCCCAGGCGGGGUGCUUAAUGCGUUAGCUUCGGCACGGACGGGGUUGAUAUCCGCCCACACCUAGCACCCAACGUUUACGGCUAGGACUAC